AACGAACGCUGGCGGCAUGCCUAACACAUGCAAGUCGAACGAGACCUUCGGGCCUAGUGGCGCACGGGUGCGUAACGCGUGGGAACCUGCCCUUAGGUUCGGAAUAACUCCCCGAAUGGGGUGCUAAUACCGGAUAAUGUCUUCGGACCAAAGAUUUAUCGCCUUUGGAUGGGCCCGCGUUGGAUUAGCUAGUUGGUAGGGUAAAAGCCUACCAAGGCGACGAUCCAUAGCUGGUCUGAGAGGAUGAUCAGCCACACUGGGACUGAGACACGGCCCAGACUCCUACAGGAGGCAGCAGUGGGGAAUAUUGGACAAUGGGCGAAAGCCUGAUGCAGCAAUGCCGCGUGAGUGAUGAAGGCCUUAGGGUAGUAAAGCUCUUUUACCCGGGAUGAUAAUGACAGUACCGGGAGAAUAAGCACCGGCUAACUCCGUG
Molecule: ribosomal RNA, 433 nt
Filed under: uncultured bacterium
Lineage: Bacteria
Description: partial 16S ribosomal RNA
Rfam family: Bacterial small subunit ribosomal RNA
Source: RNAcentral